RNAcentral lists this ribosomal RNA (801 nucleotides) under uncultured bacterium. RNAcentral's name for it is "bacterial SSU rRNA". It matches the Rfam family "Bacterial small subunit ribosomal RNA", at positions 8 to 796 of the family's 1533-position model. The record is from RNAcentral.
AGAGUUUGAUCAUGGCUCAGAAUGAACGCUGGCGGCGNNNUUAACACAUGCAAGUCGUGCGCGAAGGUGGCUUCGGCUGCCGGAGAGCGGCGAACGGGUGAGUAACACGUGGGUAAUCUGCCUGGGAGCGGGGGAUAACCUGGGGAAACUCGGGCUAACACCGCAUACGUCGUCUGGGACACGUCCUGGACGGGAAAACUGGCCUCUGCUUGCAAGCUAGUGCUCCCAGAGGAGCCCGCGGAUUAGCUAGUUGGUGAGGUAAUGGCUCACCAAGGCGACGAUCAGUAGCCGGCCUGAGAGGGUGAUCGGCCACACUGGGACUGAGACACGGCCCAGACUCCUACGGGAGGCAGCAGUGGGGAAUAUUGGACAAUGGGCGCAAGCCUGAUCCAGCAACGCCGCGUGGAGGAUGAAGGUCUUCGGAUCGUAAACUCCUGUCAGAUGGGACGAAGGCAACGGAGGUGAACACGCUGUUGCUUGACGGUACCGUCAGAGGAAGCCCCGGCUANNUCCGUGCCAGCAGCCGCGGUAAUACGGAGGGGGCGAGCGUUAUUCGGAAUUAUUGGGCGUAAAGGGCGCGUAGCGGCCCGCUAAGUCAAAGGUGAAUCCCUCGGCUCACUGAGGAACUGCCUUUGAGACUGUCGGGCUUGAGGCCGGGAGGGGGUAGCGGAAUUCCCAGUGUAGCGGUGAAAUGCGUAGAUAUUGGGAGGAACACCAGUGGCGAAGGCGGCUACCUGGACCGGUUCUGACCUGAUGCGCGAAAGCGUGGGUAGCAAACAGGAUUAGAUACCCUAGUAGUCC